This 95-nucleotide small nuclear RNA is filed under the name Rodentolepis nana. The record is from RNAcentral. Lineage: Eukaryota; Metazoa; Platyhelminthes; Cestoda; Cyclophyllidea; Hymenolepididae.
GUAUCUCUUCGGAGUUACAUAUACUAAAAUUGGAACGAUACAGAGAAGAUUGGCAUGGCUUAAGGCGAACAUGGAAAGGAGAUUUGCAUCUGUUA